Molecule: ribosomal RNA, 482 nt
Filed under: uncultured bacterium
Lineage: Bacteria
Description: partial 16S ribosomal RNA
Rfam family: Bacterial small subunit ribosomal RNA
Source: RNAcentral
AUUGAACGCUGGCGGCAUGCUCUACACAUGCAAGUCGAACGGUAACAGGCCGCAAGGUUCUGACGAGUGGCGAACGGGUGCGUAAUGCAUCGGAACGUGCCCAGUCGUGGGGGAUAACUACUCGAAAGAGUAGCUAAUACCGCAUACGAUCUAUGGAUGAAAGCGGGGGACCGUAAGGCCUCGCGCGAUUGGAGCGGCCGAUGUCAGAUUAGGUAGUUGGUGGGGUGAAGGCUCACCAAGCCAACGAUCUGUAGCUGGUCUGAGAGGACGACCAGCCACACUGGGACUGAGACACGGCCCAGACUCCUACGGGAGGCAGCAGUGGGGAAUUUUGGACAAUGGGCGCAAGCCUGAUCCAGCAAUGCCGCGUGCAGGAAGAAGGCCUUCGGGUUGUAAACUGCUUUUGUACGGAACGAAACGGCUCUGGUUAAUACCCGGGGCUAAUGACGGUACCGUAAGAAUAAGCACCGGCUAACUACGUG